UGAAUUUCAAAGCGUCCUGUCUGGCUUUCAUCUGUUUUGUUUUACUUUUCACUUUUAGCGAUGGCGCAUGUAAAAAAGAGUUCGCAAAUUAUCACAUUGACAGAGAUUCCACUUUGAAGAUCACAUUUUAUUGUUCCAAACACCGUAGAGAAUGGUCAUACGGGGUGAUGCGAUUUCCUGAAUUUUGCGAAAGAUGCUUUUGUUUUGGAUAUAUCAUGGAAUGCUGCGACUCUGGGAAUGUCGCUGGCGCGGUCACUGUUGAUGGGUGUAUGAAGGAGUAUCGUGGAUGUAAGGCAGUGUUUUACAAGUUUGUGAAUGGAAUCAAAAUUAACUGUCAUACGGGUCUUCCAUUCGAUGACCGGCUAGGAUUUUGAAUAUA
Molecule: long non-coding RNA, 379 nt
Organism: Magallana angulata
Lineage: Eukaryota; Metazoa; Mollusca; Bivalvia; Ostreida; Ostreidae
Exons: 3
Source: RefSeq, a predicted model, not a curated record